UACGGGGGGGGCAAGCGUUGUUCGGAAUUACUGGGCGUAAAGGGCGCGUAGGCGGUGCUCUAAGUCGGAUGUGAAAACUCUGGGCUCAACCCAGAGCCUGCAUCCGAAACUGGAGUGCUAGAGUUCUGGAGGGGGUAGCGGAAUUCCGAGUGUAGAGGUGAAAUUCGUAGAUAUUCGGAAGAACACCAGUGGCGAAGGCGACUUACUGGACGAUUGUUGACGCUGAGGUGCGAAAGCGUGGGGAGCAAACAGG
This 253-nucleotide ribosomal RNA is filed under the name uncultured bacterium. RNAcentral describes it as "partial 16S ribosomal RNA". It matches the Rfam family "Bacterial small subunit ribosomal RNA", at positions 524 to 776 of the family's 1533-position model. The record is from RNAcentral.